AGAGUUUGAUCAUGGCUCAGAUUGAACGCUGGCGGCAGGCCUAACACAUGCAAGUCGAGCGGUAGAGAGAAGCUUGCUUCUCUUGAGAGCGGCGGACGGGUGAGUAAUGCCUAGGAAUCUGCCUGGUAGUGGGGGAUAACGUUCGGAAACGGACGCUAAUACCGCAUACGUCCUACGGGAGAAAGCAGGGGACCUUCGGGCCUUGCGCUAUCAGAUGAGCCUAGGUCGGAUUAGCUAGUUGGUGGGGUAAUGGCUCACCAAGGCGACGAUCCGUAACUGGUCUGAGAGGAUGAUCAGUCACACUGGAACUGAGACACGGUCCAGACUCCUACGGGAGGCAGCAGUGGGGAAUAUUGGACAAUGGGCGAAAGCCUGAUCCAGCCAUGCCGCGUGUGUGAAGAAGGUCUUCGGAUUGUAAAGCACUUUAAGUUGGGAGGAAGGGCAGUUGCCUAAUACGUAACUGUUUUGACGUUACCGACAGAAUAAGCACCGGCUAACUCUGUGCCAGCAGCCGCGGUAAU
This 521-nucleotide ribosomal RNA is filed under the name Pseudomonas sp. RNAcentral's name for it is "bacterial SSU rRNA". It matches the Rfam family "Bacterial small subunit ribosomal RNA", at positions 8 to 524 of the family's 1533-position model. The record is from RNAcentral. Lineage: Bacteria; Pseudomonadati; Pseudomonadota; Gammaproteobacteria; Pseudomonadales; Pseudomonadaceae.